UGACAGGUGAAGUGGGGGAGCAACCACA
This 28-nucleotide non-coding RNA is filed under the name Mus musculus (house mouse). The record is from RNAcentral. Lineage: Eukaryota; Metazoa; Chordata; Mammalia; Rodentia; Muridae.